GGGACAAGGACUAAGGUGCAGAGGACAGCUUCAUCUUGCCUUCAAUAUGCUGUAGAUGACGAACAGUGAAGCGGUCUACAUGUAUUGCCACCCAAGCGUCUCCUUGCUCGAGUCCAUUGAUGAAAAGCUGCAGCGAUCCUCCAGCGGCAGGGUCAGGGAGCGCAGAAUAUGACGUGUCCUCGCCAGAAUGAACAGCAGAUGGCGCUCACGCUACGAUAAAUGACGAAACUAUUUGAGGGAGCUGGCUGUCAGCAGGAGGCGGG
Molecule: long non-coding RNA, 263 nt
Organism: Lampris incognitus (smalleye Pacific opah)
Lineage: Eukaryota; Metazoa; Chordata; Actinopteri; Lampriformes; Lampridae
Exons: 4
Source: RefSeq, a predicted model, not a curated record